RNAcentral lists this long non-coding RNA (1093 nucleotides) under Anthonomus grandis grandis. RNAcentral's name for it is "uncharacterized LOC126750400". Lineage: Eukaryota; Metazoa; Arthropoda; Insecta; Coleoptera; Curculionidae. The record is from RNAcentral.
UAGUAGUUAAUACCAUAAAAUAUUGAGCCAUUAUUCAGCAACAAUCGAAUAAAUUAUCGAUAGUUUCUUGACAGUGACAGAUUUUAAAAUUUCCAGACUUUUUUUAUUAUAUAUGUCAUAGUCGAAAUAUAAAACCCGUUGUUUUAUAAAACGCCUAGUCGUUUUAUAAACAGCAGCCAGAUUGUCAAAUAUUAAUUGUCAACUCAUUAUUUUGCUAUCUGGCUAGCGUAGUUUUAUAAAACACCUAGUCGUUUUAUAAAAGUACGGUGACUGCUUGGCCAGAUUAUUAAACGCUAAAAAGACAUUUAAUCGUUUGAUAUUAUGACAUUUUGACGAGUGAUGCAUUUUGAUGCAAAUUUGAUCCAUAAUUUCAAUUUUGCUUAGUUCGUUUAGUUACAACUCUUCUUGGUUUGUUUAGUACUCUAAAAAUAUGGAUCCUGUUAAAGUAGCAGCGGCGGGAGUAGAUAAAAACUUCUAACGUAGUUUUUAUAAGGAAACAAAGUAGUAGAAACUACUCUUUACUCAGAAGCAUAUAGGAAGAUAAUUUUUUGCAUAAAUAAACUAACAUAAAGCGGCCAAUGUCAACGAUGGAACCAAUAUUAGCUACCUGGAAUCGGAACAUCAUCGGAAGGAUUAACCCUAUAAAAAGUAUUAAAAAAUCAUCUGUAAGCCUGACUUGUCGUUAUCACAUACACAGUAUUACUUUAGUCUGCAGCAAUCAACUUGGUUUUGUCACUAUUCUGAUGGCAGUCAGAUUUCAAGGUUCUAGGAACAUCAAAUGGAUCAGACUUAUGACUUAUUCCAAGAUCUGCACUUGUUAAAAUAUCACUUGUAAAUGAAAGCAGGAACGUAUUCAACUAUUUAGCAACAAAUCUAAUUCUAUUAUAAAUAGAACGAAUAAAAUUAAACUCGUUAAGGACCUUUCGACAUCUAUAUUAAAAUUUGCAUUUUACUUUUAUUGUGAUAUUUGUCUGUUAAUUUAAGAAUAUGUAAGAUAUUUGAAUUGUUUUAUUUAAUUUUUGUGGUAUUAUAUUUAAUAAUUUCUGUUCACCUAAAUACCAAUCUUGCUUUGUAAAGCAAACAUUUUUAAAAU